AAGUCGUAACAAGGUUUCCGUAGGUGAACCUGCGGAAGGAUCAUUAACGAGUAACUGAACAGGUUGUAGCUGGCCUUUCGGGGCAUGUGCACGCCUGGCUCAUCCACUCUUCAACCUCUGUGCACUUGUUGUAGGUCGGUCGAAGGGUCACUGUGUAAACGGUGACUUGGAAGCCUUCCUAUGUUUUACUACAAACGCUUCAGUUUAAGAAUGUAAUCUCUGCGUGUAACGCAUUUAUAUACAACUUUCAGCAACGGAUCUCUUGGCUCUC
The sequence is an unclassified non-coding RNA, 271 nucleotides long. The stretch from base 1 to 46 matches the Rfam family "Eukaryotic small subunit ribosomal RNA", at positions 1786 to 1831 of the family's 1831-position model.